UACGGAGGGUGCAAGCGUUAUCCGGAAUCACUGGGUUUAAAGGGUGCGUAGGCGGUUGUAUAAGUCAGUGGUGAAAGGCCGUAGCUUAACUAUGGGAUUGCCAUUGAUACUGUAUGACUUGAAUGAGGUUGAGGUUGGCGGAAUGUGGCAUGUAGCGGUGAAAUGCUUAGAUAUGCCAUGGAACAUCGAUUGCGAAGGCAGCUGACUGGACCUGAAUUGACGCUGAGGCACGAAAGCGUGGGGAGCGAACAGGAUUAGAAACCCGGGUAGUCC
Molecule: ribosomal RNA, 273 nt
Filed under: uncultured prokaryote
Description: partial 16S ribosomal RNA
Rfam family: Bacterial small subunit ribosomal RNA
Source: RNAcentral